ACUCACUAGGGUAUAAAGAAUCCAUAUAAAGUGUCAAUUCAUGGGGAAACUACAGGGUAUUGGCCUCAUAGACAUCUUAUUUAAAGGCUAGACGUCUCAUGGCGCAGUCACUUCCGGCAUCACCGGUGGCCAUCUUGUCACAGGCAGGCUUCCUGUCGGGCUCUGUGGUACCUAAUAUAAGGUGAGUGAUCAGCACUAACACAAAUACUCUUAUCUCGCUGAAACCUUGAUGGAUUUACAAACAGUUUGGUUUCUUACAAACGUUAUUAACGUGGCUAUAAUUCUGAAUGCUUGAAAAUUUUGAAAUUGCAGCUUUUCUUUUCUAAAAACGUCUAAAACGUGCAGCAUAGUUGGGUCACGGCUACUUGCGCAAGUUAACAAGGCAGAUAUCACAAACGAGCUGUUUGAUUAUAGAGGUUUUACUGACACCAAUAACGAUUUUAUGACAACUAAUCUUUUGUCUAAAUUACAAUAUUUGUGGAUGUGGUUGUAGUUAUUUGCUGGCUAAUAACAAUAAGCUUUGAGUGAGACCUAUGGCAGCUAACGUUACAGUUUAGCUGCUAACCAGCAAAUUUGCACAUGCUUUUCAAUCCGGUUGGUUCCUGUGUUGCUUGAAGGACAGCAAUAUGUCCUGACCUACAGGUUCAGCCAGAACCACUUGGAGCUUCUCUUCAACUCCAUCAGAGUAUCUGGUAGGGUUCAUAAUUUAUAUUUACCAGCCGCAACACUAAGUGACUUGUAUUGUUUUCAGUCCAUAUGUUUUUUUACUUUUAGUAACAUGUGUUUUCUGCAGACACACCUUAACCCUAAGACACCCACAAUACCUGGAAGUGUCACAAACCAUUUUGAGUAUUUAGAAAAAUGCCUGUGUUUGACUAUUUGUUUGCAGAACUUAUCAUCACUGAUACAGUCUGAAUUGUAUGAUAAUGUCAUUCAACCUAUUUUAUGUGGAAAGAUCAUUCAGGGGUGGCUAGUUCUAAUUAAAAAUGUUUUAAACAUAAAACAUUUUAAAGCAUGUAUUGAAUAUCUGUGUACUAUUCUUGUAUAUCUUUUUUUUUCCUUAAACGAAUAACAACCCUAAUGCCAGCCAGUUCAAGUACAUCUUUAGGAUGUAAAGCUGAUGGCCCAGUGUGGGGUUGUUAAACCAUGCAAAGGCAAUGUGACGGCACAGGAUGACACAGAGUCCCUACCAGCUGUCAUCGACACCUCUACAAGCCUGUCAGCUGUAGAUGUGUCCUCUGCAGCAGGAGGAGAAGAUCUUCCAUCCCCGUUUGCUGACAUUCCUGCCCUAGUACAUGAUCACAGCUACCUUCCCGUCCACUUCGAUGGUCUUGUGGACAACGCUCUCAUGUACAUUUCAGGAUUUGUUGUGCGACAGGUUUUGAAGAAGCUUUCGUGUGAUGUCUGCCGUGCCAGCCUGGUGACAUGCUGCAUCUGCCAUCAAGGACCAGAGCUACCACCUGCUGAAUUUAAAAAACAAUGGAGGUCUGGUGAUUCCAUCAGAGGGAACCGUGAGUGUCGUCAGGGCAGCAGAUUGGGUCAUUCGGCAGUCAUCAGGCAGUACCAGACGAUCACAGCCCAUCAAACUGCUUGAGGUUGUUUACAUUGUCUGAAAAAGGAUCGGUUCAGAGGAUGUUUGUGUUGGGAUAGACAGUAUGGGAUAGACAUCCACCACCAUAGGCUGUUAAAAAUAAUUCUGUCCCUGUUUUUUAAGGUAAAGCUGCACCACAUCGCCAGAAUUACAAUCCUCAGCUUACAGAGCAACAACAUGCAACAGAAACUUAAUAAAACUGUCCUUUUCAAAGGGCAUUAGCCCAAGGUAUGUGUUUUCAAGGUACUGUCCUCUUUUACUUCAACAGUAGUGUAGUGCUCUCUACAGCAUUUAUUUAUUUGUAUAUAUAAAUGAUUUAUUUAUAUUUGUAAAGGGGAAUCAUGUACC
Molecule: long non-coding RNA, 1939 nt
Organism: Esox lucius (northern pike)
Lineage: Eukaryota; Metazoa; Chordata; Actinopteri; Esociformes; Esocidae
Source: Ensembl